AGAGUUUGCUUUUGGCUCAGGAUGAACGCUGGCGGCGUGCUUAACACAUGCAAGUCGAACGAAGCACCUUAUUCUGAUUUCUUCGGAAUGAAAAAUUUGGUGACUGAGUGGCGGACGGGUGAGUAACGCGUGGGUAACCUGCCUCAUACAGGGGGAUAACAGUUAGAAAUGACUGCUAAUACCGCAUAAGACCACAGCACCGCAUGGUGCAGGGGUAAAAACUCCGGUGGUAUGAGAUGGACCCGCGUCUGAUUAGGUAGUUGGUGGGGUAACGGCCUACCAAGCCAACGAUCAGUAGCCGACCUGAGAGGGUGACCGGCCACAUUGGGACUGAGACACGGCCCAAACUCCUACGGGAGGCAGCAGUGGGGAAUAUUGCACAAUGGGGGAAACCCUGAUGCAGCGACGCCGCGUGAGCGAUGAAGUAUUUCGGUAUGUAAAGCUCUAUCAGCAGGGAAGAAAAUGACGGUACCUGACUAAGAAGCACCGGCUAAAUACGUGCCAGCAGCCGCGGUAAUACGUAUGGUGCAAGCGUUAUCCGGAUUUACUGGGUGUAAAGGGAGCGUAGACGGAGUGGCAAGUCUGAUGUGAAAACCCGGGGCUCAACCCCGGGACUGCAUUGGAAACUGUCAAUCUAGAGUACCGGAGAGGUAAGCGGAAUUCCUAGUGUAGCGGUGAAAUGCGUAGAUAUUAGGAGGAACACCAGUGGCGAAGGCGGCUUACUGGACGGUAACUGACGUUGAGGCUCGAAAGCGUGGGGAGCAAACAGGAUUAGAUACCCUGGUAGUCCACGCCGUAAACGAUGACUACUAGGUGUCGGGCAGCAAAGCUGUUCGGUGCCGCAGCAAACGCAAUAAGUAGUCCACCUGGGGAGUACGUUCGCAAGAAUGAAACUCAAAGGAAUUGACGGGGACCCGCACAAGCGGUGGAGCAUGCGGUUUAAUUCGAAGCAACGCGAAGAACCUUACCUGCUCUUGACAUCUCCCUGACCGGCAAGUAAUGUUGCCUUUCCUUCGGGACAGGGAUGACAGGUGGUGCAUGGUUGUCGUCAGCUCGUGUCGUGAGAUGUUGGGUUAAGUCCCGCAACGAGCGCAACCCCUAUCUUUAGUAGCCAGCGGUUUGGCCGGGCACUCUAGAGAGACUGCCAGGGAUAACCUGGAGGAAGGUGGGGAUGACGUCAAAUCAUCAUGCCCCUUAUGAGCAGGGCUACACACGUGCUACAAUGGCGUAAACAAAGGGAGGCAGAACCGCGAGGUCGAGCAAAUCCCAAAAAUAACGUCUCAGUUCGGAUUGUAGUCUGCAACUCGACUACAUGAAGCUGGAAUCGCUAGUAAUCGCGAAUCAGAAUGUCGCGGUGAAUAAAUUCCCGGGUCUUGUACA
RNAcentral lists this ribosomal RNA (1380 nucleotides) under uncultured bacterium. Its description in RNAcentral is "bacterial SSU rRNA". It matches the Rfam family "Bacterial small subunit ribosomal RNA". The record is from RNAcentral.